AGACUUUGGAGAUCUCACAAAUAAAUAGAAUGUGAAAUCCUCAUUUAGACAAACCAGCUAUAGAAGACUUCUUGGGGACAGCUGGAAAAAUGGCCUAUAAUUUUACUUAGUGGGGAGGAAGAUGAAAUGGAUCUAUGCUGUCUUAUCUAGACUGGAGGUCCCAAGUGAUAUUUCACAAAGGUGCAAAAGCAAUUCAGUGGAAAAAGAAUGACAUUCUCAACAAUGGUCCAUAUAGUGGAUGUCUGCAUACAAAAAAAGAGGAAGGGAUAGUCAUCCUGGAGCCAAAGCAAGACUCAGUACUGAAAGACCAGGGAUUUAGUGUGAAUGAAGGAAGGGCUUUGGUCCCACUGGCCUCCAAGUAUGCCAGAGCAUCACAGUAAGAACUGUGGAUCCUGAGCACCAUGUCAGCAUAAUACCCUCAAGGUCCAUCCAUGUUGUCACAAAUGGCCAGAUUCCAUCAUUUCUUAUGGGUGAGUAGUAUUUCACUGUGUAUAAAUACCACAUCUUCCUUAUCCAUUCAUCCAUUGAUGGGCAGCUAGGUUGCUUCCAAGUCUUGGCUAUUGUGUAUAAUGCUGCAGUGAACAUAGGGCUGCAAGUAUCUUUAUGCCUUUGCACUUUCAAGUUCUUUGGAUAAAUACCCAGCAGUGGGAUAGCUGGAUCACAUGGUAGAUUUAUUCUUAAUUUUCUGAGGAAACUCCAUACUGCUUUCCAUAGUGGCUGCACUAGUUUGCACUCCCAC
This 739-nucleotide long non-coding RNA is filed under the name Equus caballus (horse). RNAcentral's name for it is "lncRNA (ENSECAG00000055613.1)". The record is from RNAcentral. Lineage: Eukaryota; Metazoa; Chordata; Mammalia; Perissodactyla; Equidae.